AAAUGACUCUCGGCAACGGAUAUCCCGGCUCUCGCAUCGAUGAAGAACGCAGCGAAAUGCGAUACUUGGUGUGAAUUGCAGAAUCCCGUGAACCAUCGAGUCUUUGAACGCAAGUUGCGCCUGAAGCCAUUAGGCUGAGGGCACGUCUGCCUGGGUGUCAUGC
Molecule: ribosomal RNA, 163 nt
Filed under: Elaeoselinum transtaganum
Lineage: Eukaryota; Viridiplantae; Streptophyta; Magnoliopsida; Apiales; Apiaceae
Description: Thapsia transtagana 5.8S ribosomal RNA
Rfam family: 5.8S ribosomal RNA
About the family: 5.8S ribosomal RNA (5.8S rRNA) is a component of the large subunit of the eukaryotic ribosome. It is transcribed by RNA polymerase I as part of the 45S precursor that also contains 18S and 28S rRNA. Functionally, it is thought that 5.8S rRNA may be involved in ribosome translocation.
Source: RNAcentral